Long non-coding RNA from Lepus europaeus (European hare), 2844 nucleotides. RefSeq lists it as uncharacterized. The transcript is spliced from 3 exons. The record is from RefSeq and is a predicted model, not a curated record. Lineage: Eukaryota; Metazoa; Chordata; Mammalia; Lagomorpha; Leporidae.
CUCUUCUCCCUCCUACAGUUCUUCACUGAAGGAUUGGUAGAGGCCUCACAGUUUUCUCAUGGAUGCACUGUGUCCUGUGUCAGAUGACGUUCGUGUCCUGCUGGCGUCUUGAGAAGUGGAGGGCAAUGCAUUUCAGGUUUAUUUAUUUAUUUGAAAGUCAGAGUUGCAGAGAGAGAUCGAUUGCUGGUUCACUUCCUAGAUGGCCACGACAGCUGGGGCUGGCCCAAGCUGAAGCCAGGAACCAAGAGCUUCUUCCAAUCCUCCCAUGUGGGUGACAGGAUUCAAGCACUUGGACCAUCCUCUACUGCUUUUCCCAUACCAUUAGCAGGGAUCUGCACUGGCCGUGGAGCGGCCAGAACAUGAAGCAGUGCCCGUAUGGAAUGCUGGCAUCACAACUGAUGACUUUAUGUGCUACGCCACCGCCCUGGACUUCCUCUCUUCAUUUCAAGUUCAAAUGUCUUUGCUCCCGUGGUGGUACAUUUCUCUGCGCAUGUCAAACUCUGGGAGGCUGAAUGCUGCAGGCACGAAAGCCUUAGAAGACGGCAGAACCACGUGGAAGGAGAACCACGUGGAAGAACCACGUGGAAGGAGCGGGGUCUCUGGAUGAUGCUGUGGCUCUUCGCAGGCCUCCCUGGGAGGUCAGAGAGCCUCUGACACGAGUCUGCAUGCGAGAGGGCUUCGGAGGCUCCACGAAGCAAUGGAACUAAAAGAUAAGUGCACCUUGGUAUAACAAAAAACAACAACGAAAUCCACACAUUCUUUUUUUUCCAUAAUACACAUCUUACUUGAACCCUUUGAAGACCUCUUGGAGGACUUCUACACAGGCCAACAAGAACUGUCACGUGGCUCUGCCAGGGCUGCUGUGCAGGUCGGCUGGGGCUCUCACGUCAUUGGCCCUGCUGAGCCGUCACAGGCCAGGCAGGGCAGCAGGGUGGUGCUGUUAAACCUCAGCUCUUGCUCUUGCUACCUCCCUACCUGCAUCACCACUUGCUAUGCCUUCUCCCUGGAAUGGCCUCCUCUCCCACUUUCCUUCUCAAGACCCUGCUAUCCUUCAUAUCCUCGUGAAACCUUUCUUGUUCUUUUCUUCUCUUGACCUGCAGUCAAAGGCACCUGGCACCAGUGACUGCCACAACAGCUCCUUCUGUGUGUUAGGUUCCAUGGUCCUUACGGGCAGGAACUAGGUGCCCCUUUCAUUUUACGACCUCCAGGAUGACCUGCACAGGAAUCUGCACGUAGUAGGCAAUCUACGCAGAUUUGCUGAAAUGUAGUGGAGAGGAUUAAGGGAGGUGAUUUUGAUUUUCCCUAGAGUGCGACUUGGAUUUGGGGCAAAAGUGAAGCUGGCGGGGUGCAUUUGGGGAAGAUCAGGUGGGAAAACAAAAUGAACGAUGGAAAGAAAGGUGAGAGAGUGCAGCCAGCAACUGUUUCAUUCUGGGUUUCUGUAGAGCGUCCUUGGGAGCCAGAGAGCAAUCUCUCUGACCUCCAGUCAAGUGUCGGAACACAUCUUCCUGUGGCUUCUGACCUCCAACCAAGUGUUGGAACACGGCUCCCUGUGGCUUCUGACCUCCAACCAAGUGUCGGAACACGCUUCCUGUGGCUCCAAAGCCUGUUCACAGGCUCCCUUCUGGUCUGCAGUUAACCGAGGGGGCCAGGCAAUCCCAGAGCAUCCCGGCUCUGACCUUUGGGCUGCUGAAUUCACUGCGGCCCACACCGUGAGUGCCUGGGAGGUCUGAUCCACGAAGGUCCAUGGCAUAGCCUUCUAUCUUGGGGUGAGGGGAGAGGAAGGCAGGAAAGUGGUCAUCAGCCGAAGAGAGCUGCUGCCUGAGUGAAUGCUCACUGAGAGGUUGGCCCCACCUCCCCUCUACACACGUCUCUUCCAACUGUGCCCUGACUCUGUAUUCUCCAACCCAAACAAAGCACCUGGAGAAAAAGUGAUUUUGUGGCUCGCUCUGUUUUCAGUGCCCAUGGAACAUUUGCCCCCAUGGUGCUCCAUCACCAGAUUUAAAAAAAAAAAAAAUCCUUCAAAAUGGCCACUUGCCUUUUUUAUUGGCAUGUUUGCAUCCAUGUUGCUACUGACUUGCACUCAAGGCCAAGUUUUUUUUUCAUGAUUUUUUGCCAUCUGUGCCAUAUUUCUUUAGAGUUUUUCUUCUCCAAUCCCUUCUUUGAUGCCAGGAGAAGUACUAGCAAUGGGCUGGAGAGAUUCCAAAGCCCGAUGCACAGAGACUGGCUAACAACCUCAACUUUGCUUCAUAUACAUUUUGGAAACUUCUGCCUUUUCUUUUUGCAAGGAGACAUGUAAAGUUCCCAAUCGAGCCCUAUCCAGAGGCUGAUGAGCAACCUGCUCGUAGAACAUGGAAAGGUAGGCCCAGGGCCCCUGCUGCUGCCUGCUGUCAGGGGAGACAGGAGACCCUGUGAUUUGAGUCCGGUCUAUGAAGCACAGUUCUAAGUAAGAGAAGAAAAAUCUCACCCUUCCAGCAGGCCUUGAAUCUGUCAUAAGAAAGGAGCUAUGCAAUCCAUCAGCAUUUUAAGGAAGGUUUAGAAGACCUCGGUACCCCCAAAUACUAUACUCAGUGGGACAAGACCAGCCAUGAAUGCAGGUAAUGACCAGAUUAAUUAAAAAAAUUAAUUAAUUUUAAAAAGCCAAACUGCAAAACUCAACAUCUCACUGUCUACAGACCUUGGAAUAUUUUGGUCUGGCCUGGGGAAUAGGUGCUCUUACGUAGUAUGUCUGCAGAGGAAUAUUUAGUGACCACUGUACCUUUUAAAGUAUUUAAAAACAUAUACAUUAAAGCAAUUAUAUCUUCUGUAAAUGAAUUAAAAAAUCACCUCUUGUUGGAAAAAAAUAAA